UCCCAGAUGGCUCAGUGGUAAAGAGUCUGCCUGUAGUGCAGAAGACUCAGGUUCAGUUCCUGGGUCAGGAA
This 71-nucleotide transfer RNA is filed under the name Ovis aries (sheep). It matches the Rfam family "tRNA". From Rfam's summary of the family: Transfer RNA (tRNA) molecules are approximately 80 nucleotides in length. Lineage: Eukaryota; Metazoa; Chordata; Mammalia; Artiodactyla; Bovidae. The record is from Rfam by way of RNAcentral.